This 255-nucleotide ribosomal RNA is filed under the name uncultured bacterium. RNAcentral describes it as "partial 16S ribosomal RNA". It matches the Rfam family "Bacterial small subunit ribosomal RNA", at positions 99 to 354 of the family's 1533-position model. The record is from RNAcentral.
CGGACGGGUGAGUAACGCGUGGAAAACCUGCCGUAUACUGGGGGAUAACACUUAGAAAUAGGUGCUAAUACCGCAUAAGCGCACAGCUUCGCAUGAAGCGGUGUGAAAAACUCUGGUGGUAUACGAUGGAUCCGCGUCUGAUUAGCUAGUUGGUGGGGUAAUGGCCUACCAAGGCAACGAUCAGUAGCCGGCCUGAGAGGGUGAACGGCCACAUUGGGACUGAGACACGGCCCAAACUCCUACGGAAGGCAGCAG